UUUUACGUCAGCUUUGAAGCAUUCUGACUGUUAUUCAGAAAACUAGAAUUAAUUUUUACGUAAAAG
Molecule: transfer RNA, 66 nt
Filed under: Batillipes longispinosus
Lineage: Eukaryota; Metazoa; Tardigrada; Heterotardigrada; Arthrotardigrada; Batillipedidae
Description: tRNA-Asn
Source: RNAcentral